RNAcentral lists this RNase P RNA (420 nucleotides) under Candidatus Cloacimonadota bacterium. RNAcentral describes it as "Candidatus Cloacimonetes bacterium RNase P RNA component class A". It matches the Rfam family "Bacterial RNase P class A". Rfam says of the family: Ribonuclease P (RNase P) is a ubiquitous endoribonuclease, found in archaea, bacteria and eukarya as well as chloroplasts and mitochondria. Its best characterised activity is the generation of mature 5'-ends of tRNAs by cleaving the 5'-leader elements of precursor-tRNAs. Lineage: Bacteria; Pseudomonadati; Candidatus Cloacimonadota. The record is from RNAcentral.
UAAGAAGAUAGAAUGUCUGCCCCGCACCUAUCUUGAAGCUCUCGUUUUGAAGACUUUCAAGAUAGGUGCGGGAAGGAAAGUCCGAACACCAUAGGGCAGGAUACUUCUUAACAGGAAGCCUCGGUGACGGGGAGCCAGCUCCACAGAAAUAAACUGCUUCGAAAUACUUCGGAGUAAAGGUGAAAUGGUGGUGUAAGAGACCACCGGAUUUCGGUGUGAAUCGGAAUGCCAGGAAAGCCUUAUCUGGUGCAAUGCCAAAUAGGAAAGCAGGAGUCGGCCCGACUUGAUUGCUUUCGGGUAGGCAGCUAAAGCCGGUCAGAAUUGAGUUCAUUUGAACAUAGUAAUAUCCGGUGUAGAGAAAUAGACAUUAAAUCACUUAUUAGGUGAUUUACAGAAUUCGGCUUAUUAUCUUCUUUGGCA